UCAAGUUAGUAAAUCUUCGUUCAUCAAAGCAACGCAGGACUAAGCUUUAAACAUUGGGUAGGAGAUUUUCUGAGAACAAUAUUCUUAAAGCCUUCUACAGGAAGAAAUGCUACGGCAAGGAAGCUACCGAAUGAUUAUUUUUGCUCUACUAAUCGCCAUAGACUGGGCAAGUUGCAAUGAAGAUGAAAAAAGACAAGUGGACAUAAAAAACUUUCUGAACACAUCAGAGCUUAUUUGGACCUACAACAGCACAAGAGGCUCAACUUUGCUAUGCAGAGUGGACACGAUGCUAAGUAUUUCAAUGAAGAAGAUUGUUUUCGAGCGCUCACAUUUCCUAAAUAAAAGCAGGCGGUGGAAACGAGACUAUCUUGAAGGAAACUUUUCCUUUUGGCAUUUCGAAAACAGGUCCUUAUAACACUAUCAGAGUUGGCCCUGUAGGCUUCAAAUGGAGGAACGAAGAGCUGCUAGUCUAUCAAAGUGAAGAUAACAAGUGUGCAGUCUUCAAGUCAUUCACACUGGGCAGAACUCUUGAUUACUUCUCCGUUGACCUUCGACUGAAGAAUUCUUCGGUAGCUCAAGGCCCAAGUGAAGAGUGUCGGCGAGAAUACAAGAAAAAGCUAAGAAAACGGAAAAGUUACACAUUGUAUUCUUCAGAAUGUCAAAACAACUUAAAAGAAGAUCGAGAAUACGUUUACCAUUACCUCUGAAUAAAGACGGUUGAUUUCACGUUU
This is a long non-coding RNA of Dermacentor silvarum, 731 nucleotides long. RefSeq lists it as uncharacterized. Lineage: Eukaryota; Metazoa; Arthropoda; Arachnida; Ixodida; Ixodidae. The record is from RefSeq and is a predicted model, not a curated record. The transcript has 5 exons.